RNAcentral lists this long non-coding RNA (319 nucleotides) under Elaeis guineensis (African oil palm). RNAcentral describes it as "long non-coding RNA (EGUI_LNC006232)". The record is from RNAcentral. Lineage: Eukaryota; Viridiplantae; Streptophyta; Magnoliopsida; Arecales; Arecaceae.
UGGUGAUGAUGGAAGCGGCGGUGAGGACGAUAAGGCGGGCGCCAACGAUGAUGGCUGGGUUGGGUACUCAUAGUGGAGGGGGGGAGGAAGAUCAGAAGAGAGCACGCGAGAGGAGAAUGGGAGGAGAUAAAGUGUUUGGGUAAAGUAACCGAGGAAGAGGAGAGCAGAGGGAGGAGAGUCACGAGGUUGGGCCGGGCUUAGGCUCGAGCUCGGUCUUGGGCUGGUCCGAUCGAGUUCGAACUGGGCUUGUGCCUUAAAUUUUAAAAUAUUUUCGGGUCUAUGUCUAGUCAGAAGCCCAAAAAAAUAUUUUGGAUCAGGC